GACGAACGCUGGCGGCGUGCCUAAUACAUGCCAGUAGAACGCUGAAGGAGGAGCUUGCUCUUCUGGAUGAGUUGCGAACGGGUGAGUAACGCGUAGGUAACCUGCCUGGUAGCGGGGGAUAACUAUUGGAAACGAUAGCUAAUACCGCAUAACAGUAGAUGUUGCAUGACAUUUGCUUAAAAGGUGCAAUUGCAUCACUACCAGAUGGACCUGCGUUGUAUUAGCUAGUUGGUGGGGUAACGGCUCACCAAGGCGACGAUACAUAGCCGACCUGAGAGGGUGAUCGGCCACACUGGGACUGAGACACGGCCCAGACUCCUACGGGAGGCAGCAGUAGGGAAUCUUCGGCAAUGGACGGAAGUCUGACCGAGCAACGCCGCGUGAGUGAAGAAGGUUUUCGGAUCGUAAAGCUCUGUUGUAAGAGAAGAACGAGUGUGAGAGUGGAAAGUUCACACUGUGACGGUAUCUUACCAGAAAGGGACGGCUAACUACGUG
RNAcentral lists this ribosomal RNA (495 nucleotides) under uncultured bacterium. RNAcentral's name for it is "partial 16S ribosomal RNA". It matches the Rfam family "Bacterial small subunit ribosomal RNA", at positions 28 to 507 of the family's 1533-position model. The record is from RNAcentral.